Molecule: long non-coding RNA, 1293 nt
Filed under: Callithrix jacchus (white-tufted-ear marmoset)
Lineage: Eukaryota; Metazoa; Chordata; Mammalia; Primates; Cebidae
Description: lncRNA (ENSCJAG00000085712.1)
Source: RNAcentral
AGAAUUCAAACUUCUCCAAAGCAAAAAAUACAAAUAACCUUAUUUAAAAAUCAGAAAAAGAUCUACCCAAACCCUCUGUCUGUCCCCCAGCAUUAUUUUUCCAUCUUCUUUUCCCAACAGCCUUUGGCCCUUCCCUCUCGCCAGCCUUUUUCUUUCUCCAUCUACCCCAAAGCUUUUUCCACAUUUUCCCCCACUGUCAUUUCACAAAGACUUCUCUACUCUCUUGCUCACUACAGUUUUCCCCACUCAUCUACCCCAAAACUUUUAUACACCGUUUUCCCCCACUGUGUUUUCUUCCUCUUUCCUACCCUCUUUCCUGCCUCACUCUCAUUCCGUUUGCUCCUCUAUCUACACAAAAACAUUUUCCCCAUCUUUUACCAAAGCCUUCUCACCACUCCUGCUCAGCACCCUCUUUUCCCCCUUCAUCUCCCCAAAACUGUUUGCCCCAUCGUCUUUUUCCCCUUUCCUUCUUGCCACCCUCUUUCCCUUCUCCAUCUAUCCCAAAACAUUUCCUCACCAUCUUUUUUGCAAAGCCUUCCCCGCUUCCCACUCACCCUCUUCUUCCCCUUAUCCUGCUUGCCACGUCUUUGCCCUCUACGCUAUUUUUCCCAUCUUCUUUUUCCCAUCCCUCUUUCUGCACUCCCUCUGGCCACCCCCUCUUUUCUCUUCCCACUUGCCACCCUCUUCCCCCUCCAUCUAUCCACUUUAUCCACUGUCUUUUCUUUCUGCAGUCUUUCUUUCCUGCCCAUCGUCUAUUUGCAAAACCUUUUCUCCUCCCCACUCGCCACCCUCUUUUCUCUCUUCAUCUACGUAAAAAAUUUUAUCCCCUUCUUUUCGCAAAACCUUCUCUCCCUCCUGCUUGCCCACUUUCUCUUCCCCCUCCCUCUUUGCAUCACCUUUCCUUCUCCCACUUGUCCCCCUCUUCCCUUCUGCAUCUGCCCAAAAUCUUUUUACACACUGUCUUCUUUCCUCCCGUAUUUUUUCAGACCUUCUCUCCCUCCUGCUCACCCCCUGGUUCUCCCCUCACCAUCCUCUCAUUCCUCCUGUCACUUGCCACUCUCUUUUCCCCUUCCAUCUACCCAAAAACGUUUCCCCACCAUCUUUUCACAAAAGCUUCUCUCCCUCUUCCUCGCCCCCUGCUUCCCCCCUCACCAUCCUCUCAUUCCUCCUCUCACUUGCCACUCCAUUUUCCCCUUCCAUCUACCCCAAAAUAGUUUUCCCACCAUCUUUUCCUCACCGUCUUUUUUCAACAUCUUAUCCUGUUCGCCAUCCUCUUUGUCCCUUUGGCAAUAA